Molecule: ribosomal RNA, 253 nt
Filed under: uncultured bacterium
Lineage: Bacteria
Description: partial 16S ribosomal RNA
Rfam family: Bacterial small subunit ribosomal RNA
Source: RNAcentral
GACAGAGGUGCCGAGCGUUAGGCGGAAUCACUGGGCUUAAAGCGUGUGUAGGCGGAUGGGUAAGUACCUUGUGAAAUCCCACGGCUCAACCGUGGAACUGCUCGGUAUAGUGCUCGUCUUGAGCCAACUAGGGGCGACCGGAACCAACGGUGGAGCGGUGAAAUGCGUAGAUAUCGUUUGGAACGCCGAUGGUGAAAACAGGUCGCUGGGGUUGUGCUGACGCUGAGACACGAAAGCCAGGGGAGCGAACGGG